GAAGGGUGGCAGAGUGGUUGAAUGCACCGGUCUUGAAAACCGGCGAAGAGCAAUCUUUCGUGGGUUCGAAUCCCACCCCUUCC
RNAcentral lists this transfer RNA (83 nucleotides) under uncultured Sutterella sp. It matches the Rfam family "tRNA". From Rfam's summary of the family: Transfer RNA (tRNA) molecules are approximately 80 nucleotides in length. Their secondary structure includes four short double-helical elements and three loops (D, anti-codon, and T loops). The record is from RNAcentral. Lineage: Bacteria; Pseudomonadati; Pseudomonadota; Betaproteobacteria; Burkholderiales; Sutterellaceae.